GCGGGCGUGGCGAAAUGGUAGACGCAGCAGACUCAAAAUCUGCCGUAGCGAUACAUGUCGGUUCGAGUCCGACCGCCCGCA
Molecule: transfer RNA, 81 nt
Filed under: Sphingomonas sp. Leaf231
Lineage: Bacteria; Pseudomonadati; Pseudomonadota; Alphaproteobacteria; Sphingomonadales; Sphingomonadaceae
Rfam family: tRNA
About the family: Transfer RNA (tRNA) molecules are approximately 80 nucleotides in length. Their secondary structure includes four short double-helical elements and three loops (D, anti-codon, and T loops). Further hydrogen bonds mediate the characteristic L-shaped molecular structure. tRNAs have two regions of fundamental functional importance: the anti-codon, which is responsible for specific mRNA codon recognition, and the 3' end, to which the tRNAs corresponding amino acid is attached (by aminoacyl-tRNA synthetases). tRNAs cope with the degeneracy of the genetic code in two manners: having more than one tRNA (with a specific anti-codon) for a particular amino acid; and 'wobble' base-pairing, i.e. permitting non-standard base-pairing at the 3rd anti-codon position.
Source: Rfam by way of RNAcentral